RNAcentral lists this long non-coding RNA (4917 nucleotides) under Fragaria vesca (wild strawberry). RNAcentral describes it as "long non-coding RNA (FVES_LNC001809)". The record is from RNAcentral. Lineage: Eukaryota; Viridiplantae; Streptophyta; Magnoliopsida; Rosales; Rosaceae.
UCAUCUGAAUCAUCCGUGAUCAGUCCAUGUAGGUAUAUCUUUAAACCGAGUAAGGUUUCACAGACUUAUGAGAUGGGGAAGAAUGUUGAGAAGGAAGCCUUAUGCCAGAAUGUUGAGAAACAGAGGGAUGAAGAAAAAUAAUUGAUCUUACUGACUUCUGCAAGAAUGUUGAGACGGAAGCCUCAUGCCAGAAUGUUGAGAAACAUAGGGAUGAAGAAAAAAUAAUUGAUCUUACUGACUCCUGCAAGAAUGUUGAGAAGGAGGCCCUCUGCAAAAAUGUUGAGAAACAGAAGGUUAGGGAGUUUAAGGUUGAUGUUAACAUGGAUGUGAAAGACGAAGCAGUCCUGGACUAUGUUUAUAAUGGAGUUGGCAGUGAAUUGAUUCUCGCUGAGUGCAAUGGUCAGAGUUGUAAGAGGAGUAGUGCAAGGACUCUCCUACCGAACACAUGGCUUAAAGAUGAGGCUGUGACCAUAUUUGCCUCUUAUCUACUUGCAGGCAGCAUUGGCGACAAUGUUUAUUUCCACACUUUUUUCAGCAAGAAGCUACAAUCAUACUAUACGUAUGAAAAACCGGUAGGAAAAGUUCCUACACCAAAGAAAAUGUGGGUAAAAAGUUAGAGUAAAUACCUUCCUCAUUGCAAAAAGGUUAGUUUACAGUUGUUUUUAUAAUCAAUAAGGUUGAGUGAUAUUUGGAUUUUGUAUGAUGUCUCACAUUAUGAUUUUUUUUUUUUAACUAGAUGUUAUACCAAUCCAUGACUCAGGUCAUUGGUAUCUCUUUGUUGUGCGUAUAGAUAAUGAGACAGGAGAAUACUGGGAUAGCCUUGGAGACAAAAAAUCACGCAAGGAUCACUGCAAAGAUAUUGUAAGUCACACGAAGCCUUUUGAAUUCAUAAUCCCAGUAUCAUUGUAUACUCAGUUGCAUGGUUAUUCUUUCAUGAUGUAACAGCUGAAAGUCUUUGACAUUAAUUUCGGCCAUCUUGUGAAGAAGACUAAGAAAUUUGAAGAUUUUCCCAUUUUUAAGCCGUCACAAUGUCCUAAACAAGAGGGUACUGAUGACUGCGGGAUCUUUACAAUCAAACACAUGGAGCAGUAUGGUGAAGAGUGGUGGACUGAGGUAUGUUUUUCAUUUAUACUAGAGAAUUUGAAUGGUAAUGAGUGGCAUGGGCAUUAACUUCAUUGAAAUUUAUGCAUCGCAGUAUAACUCAAAAGAGGUUCGCAAAGAGCUAACCUUGAAAUUCAUAAGGAAUGGAUACAACAGCAGAUGACAAAUGAUGUGUAGAAACAUAAAAAAAAGAUUAAAGAAUAAGAAACUGGAAAACAAGAUUGAAGAGCCUCAGAACAAUCAAGAGACUGAGAAGCGCGGAAAGAAUGUACAAGUCCUGAAGCAAGUGAAGAUUGAACCAACUGAGAGCAACACAAACGGAAAACCACAAGUGCACAGAACUGUAAAACCUCGCAACAGAACCGUAAAACCUCGCACCAGAAAGAGUAAUGUCCAAAGUGUCCGCUGUAGCCGUUGGUAGAACCUAUGUCCCCUUAUUGUAAAACCUCAUGCUCUCACAUGCGAUGUGUACUAUAUUACUAUGUAUUAACUACUUUAUUAUGUGUACAUUAUUCACAUGAGAUGUGUACUUUAUUACGACAUAUUAACUACUUUAUUAUGUGUACUUUCUUGAGAGGUCUACCUGUUUAAGAAACCUUGUCUGCUUAUUUACGAGUGAGGGUCUACUUUUAUUGUUACACAAAAUAGUCUACCUGUUAACGAAGCUUGGUUUGCUUAUUUACGAGUACGGGUCUACUUUUUCUGGUGAGACAAAAUGGUCUACAUGUUUACGAACAACUAACCUACCUGUUUUGUGAACGUGGUGUAUCAGCGCUUCAAACGAUUGACUCACCCUACGAGUAGACCAAGAAUAAAGUGUCCAGAAUUCAACGACAUUUAAAGAAUUCUUGAUAGGUCUACCUAUUUACGAAGCCUGGUCUGCUUAUUUACGAGUACAGGUCUACUUUUUUUGUGAGACAAAAUGGUCUACCUGUUUACGAACACUAACCUACCUGUUUUGUUGACGUGGUGUACCAGCGUUUCGAACCACUGACUCACAGUACGAGUAGACCAACUCUAAAGUGUCCAGAAUUCACAGACACUUAAACAAUUUUUGAUAGGUCUACCUGUUUAUGAAGCCUGUUCUACUUAUUUACGUGUACGGGUCUCCUUUUUUUUUAAACUAAAAUGGUCUACCUGUUUACGAACACAAACGUACCUGUUUUGUGAAUGUGGUGUACCAGCGUUUCGAACCACAGACUCACAGUACGAGUAGACUAACUCUAAAGUGUCCAGAAUUUACAGACACUUAAACAAUUUUUGAUAGGUCUACCUGUUUAUAAACAAUGUUCUGCUUAUUUACGAGUACGGGUCUCUUUUUUUAUGUGAGACAAAAUGGUCUACUUGUUUACGAACACUAACCUAUCUAUUUUGUGAACGUGGUGUAUCAGCGCUUCGAACCAUUAACUCACACUACGUGUAGACCAACUCUAAAGUGUCCAGAAUUCACACACUUGCAGAAUUAUUGAUAGGUCCACCUGUUUAAGAAGUCUGGUCUAUUUAUUUAUGAGUACGGGUCUACUUUUUUUGUGAGACAAAAUGGUCUACCUGUUUACGAACAGUAACCUACCUGUUCUGUGAACGUGGCGUAACAGUUCUUCGAACCACUGACUCAAACUACAACUAGACCAAGAAUAAAGUGUUCAGAAUUCACAGACACUUGAAUAAUUCUUGAGAGGUCUACCUGUUUACGAAGCCUGGUCUGCUUAUUUACUAGUACGGGUCUACUUUUUUUGUGAGACAAAAUGGUUUACCUGUUUACGAACACUAACAUAUCUGUUUUGUGAACGUGGUGUACCAGCGCUACAAACCACUGACUAACACUACGAGUAGACCAACUCUAAAGUGUCCAGAAUUCAUAGACACUUGAAGAAUUCUUGAUAGGUCUACCUGUUUACCAUGCCUGGUCUACUUAUUUACGAGUACGAGUCUCAUUUUUUAUGUGAGAAAAAUGGUCUACCUGUUUACGAACACUAACCUACCUGCUUUGUGAACGUGGUGUACCACUUCUUCGUACCUACGAGUAGACCAAGAAUAUAGUGUCCAAGAUUCACAGACACUUGAAGAAUUCUUGAGAGGUCUACCCGUUUUUGAAGCUUGGUCUGCUUCUUUACGAGUACGGGUCUCCUUUUUUUUGUGAGACAAAAUGGUCUACCUUUUUACAAACACUAACCUACCUGUUUUGUUGACGUGGUGUAGCAGCGCUUCGAACCACUGACUCACACUACGAGUAGACCAACUCUAAAGUGUCCAGAAUUCACAGACACUUAAACAAUUUUUGAUAGGUCUACCUGUUUAGGAAGCCUGUUCUACUUAUUUACGUGUACGGGUCUCCGUUAUUUUUUUGAGACAAAAUGGUCUACUUGUUUACGAACACUAACCUACCUGUUUGGUGAACGUGGUAUACCAGUUCUUCGUACCUCUGACUCACACUACGAGUAGACCAAAAAUAAAGUGUCCAGAAUUCAUAGACACUUGAAGAAUUCUUGAGAGGUCUACCUGUUUACGAAGUCUGGUCUGCUUAUUUACGAGUACGGGUUACCUUUUGUUAGUGAGACAAAAUUGUCUACUUGUUUACAAACACUAACCUACCUGUUUUGUGAACGUGGUGUAUCAGCGACACUAACCUAGUAGACCAAGAAUAAAGUGUCCAAAAUUCAACGACAUUUAAAGAAUUCUUGAUAGGUCUACCUGUUUACGAAGCCUAGUCUGGUUAUUUAUGAGUAAGUGUCUAUUUUUUUGUGAGACAACAUAGUCUACCUGUUUAUGAACACAAACCUAUUUGUUUUGUGAACAUGGUGUACCAGCGCUUCGAACCACUGACUCACAGUACGAGUAGACCAACUCUAAAGUGUCCAGAAUUCAAAGACACUUAAAGAAUUCUUGAUAGGUCUACCUGUUUACCAUGCCUGGUCUGCUUAUUUACGAGUACGGGUCAACUUUUUUUGUGAGCCAAAAUGGUCUACCUGUUUAUGAACACUAACCUACAUGUUUUGUGAACGUGGUGUAUCAACGCUUCGAACCACUGAUUCACACUAUGAAUAGACCAAGAAUAAAGUGUCCAGAAUUCAACGAUAUUUAAAGAAUUCUUGAUAGUUCUACCUGUUUACGAAGUCUAGUCUGGUUAUUUACGAGUACGGGUCUACUUUUUUUAUGAGACAAAAUGGUCUACCUGUUUAUGAACGUGAUGUACCAGCGCUUCGAACCACUGACUCACAGUAUGAGUAGACAAACUCUAAAGUGUCCAGAAUUCGAAGACACUUGAAGAAUUCUUGAUAGGUCUACCUGUUUACCAAUCCUGGUCUACCUAUUUACGAGUACGGGUCUACUUUUUUUGUGAGACAAAAUGGUCUACUUUGUUUACGAACACUAACCUACCUGUUUUGUGAACGUGGUGUACUAGCGCUUCGAAUCACUGACUCACACUACGAGUAGACCAACUCUAAAGUGUUCAGAAUUCACAGACACUUGAAGAAUUCUUUAGAGGUUUACCUGUUUACGAAGCCUGGUCUGCUUAUUUACGAGUACGGGUCUACUUUUUUUGUGAGACAAAAUGGUCUACCUGUUUAUGUACAUUAACCUACCAGUUUGGUAAACGUGGUGUACAAGGUUUACGAAUAUUAACCUACCUAUUUUGUUUGUUUACAUGGUGUACAUUAUCCUCCAUCAUACAUUCUGGAAAUCAAAACCAAGGCAAGGUAGAGGUCCUAACAGUUCCUAGUUGUUAAACGAAAAACAUAAUACACAUAAUAUCAUAUGGUGCUAUUUUUACAAACACAUGUGUCACACCCCAAUUUUGGUAAUUUUUUUUUUUGA